RNAcentral lists this ribosomal RNA (253 nucleotides) under uncultured bacterium. RNAcentral describes it as "partial 16S ribosomal RNA". It matches the Rfam family "Bacterial small subunit ribosomal RNA", at positions 524 to 776 of the family's 1533-position model. The record is from RNAcentral.
UACGGAGGGUGCGAGCGUUGUCCGGAAUUACUGGGCGUAAAGGGCGCGUAGGCGGCCUGGCAAGUCGAUGGUGAAAGCCCGAGGCUCAACUUCGGGUCGGCCACUGAUACUGCUAGGCUUGAGUCGGCUAGAGGCAGAUGGAAUUCCGGGUGUAGCGGUGGAAUGCGUAGAGAUCCGGAAGAACACCGGUGGCGAAGGCGGUCUGCUGGGGUCGAACUGACGCUGAGGCGCGACAGCGUGGGGAGCAAACAGG